RNAcentral lists this ribosomal RNA (709 nucleotides) under uncultured bacterium. Its description in RNAcentral is "bacterial SSU rRNA". It matches the Rfam family "Bacterial small subunit ribosomal RNA", at positions 94 to 820 of the family's 1533-position model. The record is from RNAcentral.
AGUGGCAAACGGGUGAGUAACACGUAGGUGACCUGCCUCGAAGAGGGGGAUAACCACGGGAAACUGUGGCUAAUACCGCAUAGUCCUAUUUUGAUGAGAAUCUUUUUAGGUAAAACUCUGGUGCUUCGAGAGGGGCCUGCGUCCGAUUAGCUAGUUGGUAGGGUAACGGCCUACCAAGGCGAUGAUCGGUAGCUGGUCUGAGAGGACGAUCAGCCACACGGGAACUGAGACACGGUCCCGACUCCUACGGGGGGCAGCAGUGAGGAAUAUUGGUCAAUGGGCGAAAGCCUGAACCAGCAACGCCGCGUGGAGGAUGACGGCCUUCGGGUUGUAAACUCCUUUUAGGGGGGACAAGUAAGGAUGGUACCCUCAGAAUAAGUCACGGCUAACUACGUGCCAGCAGCCGCGGUAAUACGUAGGUGACGAGCGUUAUCCGGAAUUAUUGGGCGUAAAGCGUACGCAUGCGGUCGAAUAAGUCUGACGUGAAAUCUCUUGGCUUAACUGAGAGCGGUCGUUGGAAACUAUUUGGCUUGAGGCGAUGAGAGGAAUGCGGAAUCCCGGGUGUAGUGGUGGAAUGCGUAGAUAUCCGGGGGAACAUCAGUGGCGAAAGCGGCAUUCUGGCAUUUGCCUGACGCUCAUGUACGAAAGCGUGGGGAGCGAACGGGAUUAGAUACCCCGGUAGUCCACGCUGUAAACGAUGAACACUAGG